CUAUAUAUAACCGUAUAUGUCAUUUUUAGGUUGUGGUUGAAAUGAAUACAUACUUUAAACUUCUUGUGAUCGAUAGACUUUGUGAACUGAAGAUUUAUACACAUUUUAAAGGAAUGUCCAAGAUAACUGAAGACCCUUGCUCACUUAGGAAAGUGUUCUAAUUGUAAUGCUUAUCAACAAAACUUAAGAAGUACAAUAAUGAAAUGAAACUACAUCGGAAAUAAAAAUGUUCAUUGAUCAAUGUCAUUCUUUGUUUAAUUGUGUAAAAGCACUAUUAAAGGAAAAUAUCUAUGUCUCUGUUCAGUUAUCUAUUUUUAGUAUUUGGUGUCGUCU
Long non-coding RNA from Ruditapes philippinarum (Manila clam), 333 nucleotides. RefSeq lists it as uncharacterized. The record is from RefSeq and is a predicted model, not a curated record. The transcript has 3 exons. Lineage: Eukaryota; Metazoa; Mollusca; Bivalvia; Venerida; Veneridae.